CUUGUAACUUAAGAAAUCCAAGAUACUCCGGCGUGAGAAAAUGGUAACUUUCGCUGUUGAGGUUCGACAUAGAUUGUUGAAAACUUUGAUAGAAUCUUUACUAUUCAAAUGGCCCACAAAUAGUAAACAGACAACACCCGUACCCGUUUGUCUUUUACGUGUAGACCAUGGUUUACCGCGGGGAAUCGGAUAGAAAUUACGGGUAAAAAUACUGACAGCAUCAGCAAAAAUUGGUAAACAAAAUGGUGAUACUCGUACCCGUAAACCGGGGUAUCCUAUCUUAGUCGUAUUUUCGGACAACGAGGACGUGGUUGACAAUUUUUGCCUGUCUUGCACAUUAUCUUGCGCAUUCCGAGUUUAGGGUCAGGAGUGAAGACAGAUUAGAGAUUCAUGUCUAGCUGUUUAUGAAUGCUGACCCAAAUCCUUACCCUGAUCAGGAUAAAACAGCGAGACGUGAAUCCAUAUCCCGUCUUCGUUCUUCUGCCUUCGUUCACAACGAAUAUUUUG
Non-coding RNA from Paramuricea clavata, 507 nucleotides. The record is from the annotation of a GenBank genome assembly. NCBI's taxonomy places the organism in Eukaryota, Metazoa, Cnidaria, Anthozoa, Malacalcyonacea, Plexauridae.